GACCGAGCAACGCCGCGUGAACGAUGAAGUAUUUCGGUAUGUAAAGUUCUUUUAUUGAAGAAGAAAAAAUAGUGGAAAAACUAUCUUGACGUUAUUCAAUGAAUAAGCCCCGGCUAACUAUGUGCCAGCAGCCGCGGUAAGACAUAGGGGGCGAGCGUUAUCCGGAAUUAUUGGGCGUAAAGGGUGCGUAGGCGGUUAGGAAAGUCUAUAAUUUAAUUUCAGUGCUUAACGCUGUCUUGUUAUAGAAACUACCUUGACUAGAGUUAGAUAGAGGCAAGCGGAAUUCCAUGUGUAGCGGUAAAAUGUGUAAAUAUAUGGAGGAACACCAGAAGCGUAGGCGGCUUGCUGGGUCUUGACUGACGCUGAGGCACGAAAGCGUGGGUAGCAAACAGGAUUAGAUACCCUGGUAGUCCACGCCGUAAACGAUGAGUACUAAGUGUCGGGAUAAAACUCGGUACUGAAGUUAACACAUUAAGUACUCCGCCUGAGUAGUACGUACGCAAGUAUGAAACUUAAAGGAAUUGACGGGACUCCGCACAAGCGGUGGAUCAUGUUGUUUAAUUCGAAGAUACACGAAAAAUCUUACCAGGUCUUGACAUGCUCUGCAAAGCUAUAGAAAUAUAGUGGAGGUUAUCAGGGACACAGGUGGUGCAUGGUUGUCGUCAGUUCGUGUCGUGAGAUGUUAGGUUAAGUCCUAAAACGAGCGCAACCCUUGUCGUUAGUUACCAGCACGUAAUGGUGGGCACUUUAACGAGACUGCCAAUUAAACAUUGGAGGAAGGUGAGGAUUACGUCAAAUCAUCAUGCCCCUUAUGAUCUGGGCUACAAACGUGAUACAAUGGCU
Molecule: ribosomal RNA, 843 nt
Filed under: Candidatus Phytoplasma fraxini
Lineage: Bacteria; Bacillati; Mycoplasmatota; Mollicutes; Acholeplasmatales; Acholeplasmataceae
Description: bacterial SSU rRNA
Rfam family: Bacterial small subunit ribosomal RNA
Source: RNAcentral